This 448-nucleotide ribosomal RNA is filed under the name uncultured bacterium. RNAcentral describes it as "SSU rRNA". It matches the Rfam family "Bacterial small subunit ribosomal RNA", at positions 26 to 518 of the family's 1533-position model. The record is from RNAcentral.
AGAACGAACGCUGGCGGCAGGCCUCAAACAUGCAAGUCUAGGGGGCGUAGCAAUACGUCACCGGCGGACGGGUGCGUAACACGUGGGAAUGUACUUACUGGUUCGGAACAACUCAGGGAAACUUGAGCUAAUACCGAAUGUGCCCGAAAGGGGAAAGAUUUAUCGCCAGUAAAUCAGCCCGCGUCCGAUUAGCUAGUUGGCGGGGUAAAGGCCCACCAAGGCGACGAUCGGUAGCUGUUCUGAGAGGAAGAUCAGCCACACUGGGACUGAGACACGGCCCCAGACUCCUACGGGAGGCAGCAGUUGGGAAUCUUGGACAAUGGGGAAACCCUGAUCCAGCCAUGCCGCGUGAGUGAUGAAGGCCUUCGGGUUGUAAAACUCUUUCGACGGGGACGAUAAUGACGGUACCCGUAGAAGAAGCUCCGGCUAACUUCGCGCCAGCAGCCGC